CCUACGGGAGGCAGCAGUGGGGAAUCUUGCACAAUGGGGGAAACCCUGAUGCAGCAACGCCGCGUGAGUGAAGAAGUAUUUCGGUAUGUAAAGCUCUUUCAGCAGGGAAGAAAAUGACAGUACCUGACUAAGAAGCCCAGGCUAACUAGGUCCCAGCAGCCGCGGUAAGACGUAGGGGGCAAGCGUUAUCCGGAUUUACUGGGAGUAAAGGGAGCGGAGACGGCUGCGUAAGCCAGAUGUGAAAGCCAGGGGCUCAACCGCGGGACUGCAGAUGAAACUGUGAGACGAGAGUGCAGGAGAGGGAACGGGAAUUCGGGGUGUAGCGGUGAAAUGCGUAGAUAUCGAGAGGAACACUCGUGGCGAAGGCGGGUUACUGGACAGUAACUGACGCUGAGGCACGAAGGCCAGGGGAGCGAAAGGGAUUAGAUACCCGGGUAGUC
RNAcentral lists this ribosomal RNA (440 nucleotides) under uncultured bacterium. RNAcentral describes it as "partial 16S ribosomal RNA". It matches the Rfam family "Bacterial small subunit ribosomal RNA", at positions 338 to 795 of the family's 1533-position model. The record is from RNAcentral.